AAAUUGAAGAGUUUGAUCAUGGCUCAGAUUGAACGCUGGCGGCAGGCCUAACACAUGCAAGUCGAGCGGUAACACAGGGAGCUUGCUCCCGGGUGACGAGCGGCGGACGGGUGAGUAAUGUCUGGGAAACUGCCUGAUGGAGGGGGAUAACUACUGGAAACGGUAGCUAAUACCGCAUAACGUCGCAAGACCAAAGAGGGGGACCUUCGGGCCUCUUGCCAUCAGAUGUGCCCAGAUGGGAUUAGCUAGUAGGUGGGGUAACGGCUCACCUAGGCGACGAUCCCUAGCUGGUCUGAGAGGAUGACCAGCCACACUGGAACUGAGACACGGUCCAGACUCCUACGGGAGGCAGCAGUGGGGAAUAUUGCACAAUGGGCGCAAGCCUGAUG
RNAcentral lists this ribosomal RNA (389 nucleotides) under Enterobacter sp. ENT02. Its description in RNAcentral is "bacterial SSU rRNA". It matches the Rfam family "Bacterial small subunit ribosomal RNA", at positions 1 to 388 of the family's 1533-position model. The record is from RNAcentral. Lineage: Bacteria; Pseudomonadati; Pseudomonadota; Gammaproteobacteria; Enterobacterales; Enterobacteriaceae.